UUAAGCGACUAAGCGUACACGGUGGAUGCCCUGGCAGUCAGAGGCGAUGAAGGACGUGCUAAUCUGCGAUAAGCGUCGGUAAGGUGAUAUGAACCGUUAUAACCGGCGAUUUCCGAAUGGGGAAACCCAGUGUGAUUCGUCACACUAUCAUUAACUGAAUCCAUAGGUUAAUGAGGCGAACCGGGGGAACUGAAACAUCUAAGUACCCCGAGGAAAAGAAAUCAACCGAGAUUCCCCCAGUAGCGGCGAGCGAACGGGGAGCAGCCCAGAGCCUGAAUCAGUGUGUGUGUUAGUGGAAGCGUCUGGAAAGGCGCGCGAUACAGGGUGACAGCCCCGUACACAAAAAUGCAUAUACUGUGAGCUCGAUGAGUAGGGCGGGACACGUGGUAUCCUGUCUGAAUAUGGGGGGACCAUCCUCCAAGGCUAAAUACUCCUGACUGACCGAUAGUGAACCAGUACCGUGAGGGAAAGGCGAAAAGAACCCCGGCGAGGGGAGUGAAAAAGAACCUGAAACCGUGUACGUACAAGCAGUGGGAGCCUCUUUAUGGGGUGACUGCGUACCUUUUGUAUAAUGGGUCAGCGACUUAUAUUCUGUAGCAAGGUUAACCGAAUAGGGGAGCCGAAGGGAAACCGAGUCUUAACUGGGCGUUAAGUUGCAGGGUAUAGACCCGAAACCCGGUGAUCUAGCCAUGGGCAGGUUGAAGGUUGGGUAACACUAACUGGAGGACCGAACCGACUAAUGUUGAAAAAUUAGCGGAUGACUUGUGGCUGGGGGUGAAAGGCCAAUCAAACCGGGAGAUAGCUGGUUCUCCCCGAAAGCUAUUUAGGUAGCGCCUCGUGAAUUCAUCUCCGGGGGUAGAGCACUGUUUCGGCAAGGGGGUCAUCCCGACUUACCAACCCGAUGCAAACUGCGAAUACCGGAGAAUGUUAUCACGGGAGACACACGGCGGGUGCUAACGUCCGUCGUGAAGAGGGAAACAACCCAGACCGCCAGCUAAGGUCCCAAAGUCAUGGUUAAGUGGGAAACGAUGUGGGAAGGCCCAGACAGCCAGGAUGUUGGCUUAGAAGCAGCCAUCAUUUAAAGAAAGCGUAAUAGCUCACUGGUCGAGUCGGCCUGCGCGGAAGAUGUAACGGGGCUAAACCAUGCACCGAAGCUGCGGCAGCGACACUAUGUGUUGUUGGGUAGGGGAGCGUUCUGUAAGCCUGUGAAGGUGUGCUGUGAGGUAUGCUGGAGGUAUCAGAAGUGCGAAUGCUGACAUAAGUAACGAUAAAGCGGGUGAAAAGCCCGCUCGCCGGAAGACCAAGGGUUCCUGUCCAACGUUAAUCGGGGCAGGGUGAGUCGACCCCUAAGGCGAGGCCGAAAGGCGUAGUCGAUGGGAAACAGGUUAAUAUUCCUGUACUUGGUGUUACUGCGAAGGGGGGACGGAGAAGGCUAUGUUGGCCGGGCGACGGUUGUCCCGGUUUAAGCGUGUAGGCUGGUUUUCCAGGCAAAUCCGGAAAAUCAAGGCUGAGGCGUGAUGACGAGGCACUACGGUGCUGAAGCAACAAAUGCCCUGCUUCCAGGAAAAGCCUCUAAGCAUCAGGUAACAUCAAAUCGUACCCCAAACCGACACAGGUGGUCAGGUAGAGAAUACCAAGGCGCUUGAGAGAACUCGGGUGAAGGAACUAGGCAAAAUGGUGCCGUAACUUCGGGAGAAGGCACGCUGAUAUGUAGGUGAAGUCCCUUGCGGAUGGAGCUGAAAUCAGUCGAAGAUACCAGCUGGCUGCAACUGUUUAUUAAAAACACAGCACUGUGCAAACACGAAAGUGGACGUAUACGGUGUGACGCCUGCCCGGUGCCGGAAGGUUAAUUGAUGGGGUUAGCGGUAACGCGAAGCUCUUGAUCGAAGCCCCGGUAAACGGCGGCCGUAACUAUAACGGUCCUAAGGUAGCGAAAUUCCUUGUCGGGUAAGUUCCGACCUGCACGAAUGGCGUAAUGAUGGCCAGGCUGUCUCCACCCGAGACUCAGUGAAAUUGAACUCGCUGUGAAGAUGCAGUGUACCCGCGGCAAGACGGAAAGACCCCGUGAACCUUUACUAUAGCUUGACACUGAACAUUGAGCCUUGAUGUGUAGGAUAGGUGGGAGGCUUUGAAGUGUGGACGCCAGUCUGCAUGGAGCCGACCUUGAAAUACCACCCUUUAAUGUUUGAUGUUCUAACGUUGGCCCCUGAUCGGGGUUGCGGACAGUGUCUGGUGGGUAGUUUGACUGGGGCGGUCUCCUCCUAAAGAGUAACGGAGGAGCACGAAGGUUGGCUAAUCCUGGUCGGACAUCAGGAGGUUAGUGCAAUGGCAUAAGCCAGCUUGACUGCGAGCGUGACGGCGCGAGCAGGUGCGAAAGCAGGUCAUAGUGAUCCGGUGGUUCUGAAUGGAAGGGCCAUCGCUCAACGGAUAAAAGGUACUCCGGGGAUAACAGGCUGAUACCGCCCAAGAGUUCAUAUCGACGGCGGUGUUUGGCACCUCGAUGUCGGCUCAUCACAUCCUGGGGCUGAAGUAGGUCCCAAGGGUAUGGCUGUUCGCCAUUUAAAGUGGUACGCGAGCUGGGUUUAGAACGUCGUGAGACAGUUCGGUCCCUAUCUGCCGUGGGCGCUGGAGAACUGAGGGGGGCUGCUCCUAGUACGAGAGGACCGGAGUGGACGCAUCACUGGUGUUCGGGUUGUCAUGCCAAUGGCACUGCCCGGUAGCUAAAUGCGGAAGAGAUAAGUGCUGAAAGCAUCUAAGCACGAAACUUGCCCCGAGAUGAGUUCUCCCUGACUCCUUGAGAGUCCUGAAGGAACGUUGAAGACGACGACGUUGAUAGGCCGGGUGUGUAAGCGCAGCGAUGCGUUGAGCUAACCGGUACUAAUGAACCGUGAGGCUUAACCUU
Molecule: ribosomal RNA, 2902 nt
Filed under: Escherichia coli 5-366-08_S1_C1
Lineage: Bacteria; Pseudomonadati; Pseudomonadota; Gammaproteobacteria; Enterobacterales; Enterobacteriaceae
Description: bacterial LSU rRNA
Rfam family: Bacterial large subunit ribosomal RNA
Source: RNAcentral